UACGGGGGGGGCAAGCGUUGUUCGGAAUUACUGGGCGGAAAGGGCUUGUAGGCGGCCAACUAAGUCCGACGUGAAAUCCCCAGGCUUAACCUGGGAACUGCGUCGGAUACUGGAUGGCUUGAAUUCGGGAGAGGGAUGCAGAAUUCCAGGUGUAGCGGUGAAAUGCGUAGAUAUCUGGAGGAAUACCGGUGGCGAAGGCGGCAUCCUGGACCGACAUUGACGCUGAGGAGCGAAAGCUAGGGGAGCAAACGGG
This 253-nucleotide ribosomal RNA is filed under the name uncultured bacterium. RNAcentral's name for it is "partial 16S ribosomal RNA". It matches the Rfam family "Bacterial small subunit ribosomal RNA", at positions 524 to 776 of the family's 1533-position model. The record is from RNAcentral.